AGAGUUUGAUCCUGGCUCAGAAUAAACGCUGGCGGCGUGCUUAACACAUGCAAGUCGAGCGAGAAAGGUCUUCGGACUGAGUAAAGCGGCAAACGGGUGAGUAACACGUAGGAAUCUGCCUUUCAGUGAGGAAUACCCUCGAGAAAUCGAGGUUAAUACUGCAUACGUCUUGAAAAAGAGAAAGAUGGCCUCUUUGCUGUCGCUGAAAGAUGAGCCUGCGUACUAUUAGCUAGUUGGUAGGGUAAAAGCCUACCAAGGCGAUGAUGGUUAGCCGGCCUGAGAGGGUGUACGGCCACACUGGAACUUAGACACGGUCCAGACUCCUACGGGAGGCAGCAGUGAGGAAUAUUGCGCAAUGGGCGAAAGCCUGACGCAGCGACGCCGCGUGGAGGAUGAAGGUCUUCGGAUUGUAAACUUCUGUUAAGUGGGAAGAAAGGCGAAGCUCUAAUACAGCUUUGAUAUGACGGUACCACUAGAGAAAGCACCGGCUAACUUCGUGCCAGCAGUCGCGGUAAUACGAAGGGUGCGAGCGUUAUUCGGAUUUAUUGGGCGUAAAGGGUGCGCAGGCGGUAUGUUAAGUCAACUGUUAAAUCCCCCAGCCUAACUGGGGAUCGGCGGUAGAUACUGGCGUACUAGAGGGUGGAAGAGAGAAGUGGAAUUCUUGGAGUAGCGGUAAAAUGCGUAGAUCUCAAGAGGAACACCGAUGGCGAAGGCAGCUUCUUGGUCCACAUCUGACGCUCAUGCACGAAAGCGUGGGGAGCAAACAGGAUUAGAUACCCUGGUAGUCCACGCUGUAAACGAUGAUCACUAGACGUUAGUUCUGCUCUGCAGAAUUAGUGUCGUAGCUAACGCGAUAAGUGAUUCGCCUGGGGACUACGGUCGCA
This 884-nucleotide ribosomal RNA is filed under the name uncultured bacterium. RNAcentral describes it as "bacterial SSU rRNA". It matches the Rfam family "Bacterial small subunit ribosomal RNA", at positions 8 to 890 of the family's 1533-position model. The record is from RNAcentral.